Long non-coding RNA from Humulus lupulus (European hop), 1491 nucleotides. RefSeq lists it as uncharacterized. The record is from RefSeq and is a predicted model, not a curated record. The transcript is spliced from 6 exons. NCBI's taxonomy places the organism in Eukaryota, Viridiplantae, Streptophyta, Magnoliopsida, Rosales, Cannabaceae.
UCUCUCUCUCUCUCUCUCUCUCUCUCUCUCUCGUUAGUUCUAUCAGCCGCCUCUCCCUUACCAUCUCCAUCGUCGUCUCUCUCAGCUCUGCUAUCUCUCUCUUUUCUCUCAGCCUCCACAAACACCUCCUCUCCACUUGACUCUCUCCUUCUUCUCUCUCGUCUUUGGCGCUGCGUCCCCCGGACUCGACUCUCCCCUUCUUCUCUCUCGGCAAUGGUGCUCUUCCUUCCGACGGCGCCGACAGCAGAGUGGUGGUGGUGCGUGUGGUGGUUGGUGGUGCAACGGGGCUUGCCAACCCUCAACAGCAAUUGAGAGAUUGGCAGAGGCGUCUCCGCCAAGAAUGCCGCAACAUCGAACGCCAGAUUAGAGGCAAUGCUCUCUCUCUCUAAGUAAUUCAAGUCCAUUUAGCUGUCUGUUGAGUCUGUUGGAGUUUGCUUUCCUAUGUGGAGGAUGUUGUCGAAAACCUAUUUGUGAUGAUAUGAAAGACAGUGCUUAUGGAGUUUUUCCUCUUUUAGGAACUAGACAAACCUGCUCCUAUUAGAAUAUCGUCGUUACUGACUACUCGACACUUAUCACAAAGGCAUAUCAGGUUGCCUGCUAGAAAAUAUCAUCCAAAGAUUGAUGGUUUGAAGGUGCGAUGUUUAUCAUCUAAACUUCAUUUGAAUUGCAUUGUUGAGUCUUAUGAUCUCUAUUUGUUAGAGACGUUUGUUCUGUUUCCUGCUGGUCCCAUAUUUUAGUGAUGGUGAAGAAACCAUCAGCACACCAAAAGCAGACACUUUAUUCCUUCCAAGGGACAACCCUAGAGCACUUGUUAUUCGACCUGCAGAGCAGUGGUCUUUGAAGUCUAGCACUGAUAAAGCAUUCGCAUUGAAGGAUAUAUCCCCAGUACACGAGAACGGGAAAUUAUCUGAGGAGGCAUGUCAUGCACCUAGCUCCAACUUUGAGAAGAAAAAUAAUAUUUUAUUUUGGACUAGCAAAAUAGAUGCCAUCUUAAUGGACUCAUCAUUCAAUUGCUCUUAAUAUUUCUCAGGCUGACCUUAUCAUCAACAAGGUACUUAAACAGAGUAGAUUUUGAUUAUUGUAAACAACAAUUUCAAGUGCCAAGUCUAUCAAGGGUACUCUAUAUUGGAUGGCUCCUGAAGUCAUUAUCGAGAGUGCUCAUCCUGAGUCAUUGCCCUGACCGAGAGCUUCUAAAUUUCCCAAAGGAUUGUGCAACUAAGAAGGUAUUUAUUGGGUUCUUUUCUUGUAAUGCAAAUCGGAUGUUAGUGAAAAUGCCUCAAUGGACUAAUAUUGUUGUGGUGUCCACGCCACGCCUCUAUGUAUUCAUCUUUUUUAUUUGCAAGGAAGCUAAGGAUACAUUCUUUCGGAUUGAUCAUACUUUGGACUAUAUUGUUCAUUAAUUUAGGAAUAUUUGUUUUGUUCUUGGUAUUGAUUAAAUGUAUAAUAAAUCUUGGAUACUAUAUGACAUCUCAUUGAGUAUAAGUUUUGUUA